UACGGAGGAUCCAAGCGUUAUCCGGAUUCAUUGGGUUUAAAGGGUGCGUAGGCGGAAUAAUAAGUCAGAGGUGAAAGCCUGCAGCUCAACUGUAGAAUUGCCUUUGAUACUGUUGUUCUUGAAUUCGGUCGGAGUGGGCGGAAUGUGACAUGUAGCGGUGAAAUGCUUAGAUAUGUCACAGAACACCGAUAGCGAAGGCAGCUAACGAAACUAUAACUGACGCUGAGGCACGAAAGUGCGGGGAUCAAACAGG
RNAcentral lists this ribosomal RNA (253 nucleotides) under uncultured bacterium. RNAcentral's name for it is "partial 16S ribosomal RNA". It matches the Rfam family "Bacterial small subunit ribosomal RNA", at positions 524 to 776 of the family's 1533-position model. The record is from RNAcentral.